Molecule: ribosomal RNA, 253 nt
Filed under: uncultured bacterium
Lineage: Bacteria
Description: partial 16S ribosomal RNA
Rfam family: Bacterial small subunit ribosomal RNA
Source: RNAcentral
UACGGGGGGGGCAAGCGUUGUUCGGAAUUACUGGGCGUAAAGGGCUCGUAGGCGGCCAACUAAGUCAGACGUGAAAUCCCUCGGUUUAACCGGGGAACUGCGUCUGAUACUGGAUGGCUUGAAUCCGGGAGAGGGAUGCGGAAUUCCAGGUGUAGCGGUGAAAUGCGUAGAUAUCUGGAGGAACACCGGUGGCGAAGGCGGCAUCCUGGACCGGCAUUGACGCUGAGGAGCGAAAGCCAGGGGAGCAAACGGG